Molecule: ribosomal RNA, 432 nt
Filed under: uncultured bacterium
Lineage: Bacteria
Description: partial 16S ribosomal RNA
Rfam family: Bacterial small subunit ribosomal RNA
Source: RNAcentral
AACGAACGCUGGCGGCAUGCCUAACACAUGCAAGUCGAACGAGACCUUCGGGUCCAGUGGCGCACGGGUGCGUAACGCGUGGGAACCUGCCCUUAGGUUCGGAAUAACUCCCCGAAAGGGGUGCUAAUACCGGAUAAUGUCUUCGGACCAAAGAUUUAUCGCCUUUGGAUGGGCCCGCGUUGGAUUAGCUAGUUGGUAGGGUAAAAGCCUACCAAGGCGACGAUCCAUAGCUGGUCUGAGAGGAUGAUCAGCCACACUGGGACUGAGACACGGCCCAGACUCCUACGGGAGGCAGCAGUGGGGAAUAUUGGACAAUGGGCGAAAGCCUGAUCCAGCAAGGCCGCGUGAGUGAUGAAGGCCUUAGGGUUGUAAAGCUCUUUUACCCGGGAUGAUAAUGACAGUACCGGGAGAAUAAGCUCCGGCUAACUCCGU